Fundulus heteroclitus (mummichog) is the source of this 489-nucleotide long non-coding RNA. RefSeq lists it as uncharacterized. Lineage: Eukaryota; Metazoa; Chordata; Actinopteri; Cyprinodontiformes; Fundulidae. The transcript is spliced from 4 exons. The record is from RefSeq and is a predicted model, not a curated record.
AGUUCAGCUUCAGGUGAUUCAGCCUUCACACCAACAGCCACACUGAGUUUUGGCAACAGUUCAGGAAGUCUCACACCUUCACCUUCCUCUGAAACCACUAAUCAGUCAGUUCUGAGCAUGGAGGAGAUGCCAACAUCUAAAGAAAUGUCUGCAGAGCUUCUGCUGGUUGUUGGUCUGGCCGUCACUGGCAUCCUGUUAUCUGGGGUGUUGCUGGUUUUCUGCACAAAAAGGUGUCAUAAUCAUCGGAAAGGUACGAAGGCAGGAGGAUCUGACAGAACUGAUCAGCAGGGUGGUGAUUAUGAAAAUUAUCCCUCUGGGGAAUUGAUUUACCAGAACGUCAAACCUGUCGACAGGAGCAGGAAGUAGAUGUGAAGAACGGGGAAAUCCAUAUGAGAUCCUGGGUUGACUCCUGGGUUGUGUUUCUGUCGCUACAACCUGGAAAUGUUACAUUCAAAGUACCAGCAGAAAAUUAAUAAAAACUAUGUCACU